Molecule: non-coding RNA, 157 nt
Organism: Picea glauca (white spruce)
Lineage: Eukaryota; Viridiplantae; Streptophyta; Pinopsida; Pinales; Pinaceae
Source: Rfam
GACUCUUAGCAAUGAAUAUUUAUUUCUCGCGUUAUGAAAUAAAGGAUGCAUAAAAAUGCAAAACUUGGUGUGAAUUACCUAAUCAUGUUAAUCAUUGAGUUUUUGAAUGAAAUUUUUUCUUGAGGCCUCAACUAAGGGAACAUAUAUCUGGGAAUAA